UAGAGGUCCGCCUGCCGGUGACUUUAUGUUUAACGGCCGCGGUAUUUUGACCGUGCAAAGGUAGCGCAAUCACUUGUCUUUUAAAUGGAGACCUGUAUGAAUGGCAUCACGAGGGCUUAACUGUCUCCUUUCUCAAGCCAAUGAAAUUGAUCUCCCCGUGCAGAAGCGGGGAUUAUAACAUAAGACGAGAAGACCCUAUGGAGCUUUAGACACUAAGACAGCUUACGUCAAGCACCCCUAUAUAAAGGAUCGAACUAAAUAAAUCCUGUCCUAAUGUCUUUGGUUGGGGCGACCCUGGGGAGAUAAAGAACCCCCAUGUGGACUGGAAACAUGUUUCCAAAACCAAGAGCUACCGCUCUAAGAAGCAGAACUUCUGACCUACUAGACCCGGCAAGGCCGAUCAACGGACCGAGUUACCCUAGGGAUAACAGCGCAAUCCCCUUUUAGAGGCCAUAUCGACAAGGGGGUUUACGACCUCGAUGUUGGAUCAGGACAUCCUAAUGGUGCAGCCGCUAUUAAGGGUUCGUUUGUUCAACGAUUAAAGUCCUACGUGAUCUG
Molecule: ribosomal RNA, 558 nt
Filed under: Labropsis polynesica
Lineage: Eukaryota; Metazoa; Chordata; Actinopteri; Labriformes; Labridae
Description: partial 16S ribosomal RNA
Rfam family: Bacterial large subunit ribosomal RNA
Source: RNAcentral